This 467-nucleotide ribosomal RNA is filed under the name uncultured bacterium. RNAcentral's name for it is "partial 16S ribosomal RNA". It matches the Rfam family "Bacterial small subunit ribosomal RNA", at positions 28 to 506 of the family's 1533-position model. The record is from RNAcentral.
GACGAACGCUGGCGGCGUGCUUAACACAUGCAAGUCGAACGGAAAGGCCCUGCUUUUGUGGGGUGCUCGAGUGGCGAACGGGUGAGUAACACGUGAGUAACCUGCCCUUGACUUUGGGAUAACUUCAGGAAACUGGGGCUAAUACCGGAUAGGAGCUCCUGCUGCAUGGUGGGGGUUGGAAAGUUUCGGCGGUUGGGGAUGGACUCGCGGCUUAUCAGCUUGUUGGUGGGGUAGUGGCUUACCAAGGCUUUGACGGGUAGCCGGCCUGAGAGGGUGACCGGCCACAUGGGGACUGAGAUACGGCCCAGACUCCGACGGGAGGCAGCAGUGGGGAAUAUUGCACAAUGGGCGGAAGCCUGAUGCAGCAACGCCGCGUGCGGGAUGACGGCCUUCGGGUGGUAAACCGCUUUCGCCUGUGACGAAGCGUGAGUGACGGUAAUGGGUAAAGAAGCACCGGCUAACUACGU